RNAcentral lists this ribosomal RNA (550 nucleotides) under uncultured bacterium. Its description in RNAcentral is "bacterial SSU rRNA". It matches the Rfam family "Bacterial small subunit ribosomal RNA", at positions 355 to 896 of the family's 1533-position model. The record is from RNAcentral.
UAGGGAAUCUUCGGCAAUGGGGGGAACCCUGACCGAGCAACGCCGGCGUGAGUGAAGAAGGUUUUCGGAUCGUAAAGCUCUGUUGUUAAGGAAGAACGAGUGUGAGAAUGGAAAGUUCAUACUGUGACGGUACUUAACCAGAAAGGGACGGCUAACUACGUGCCAGCAGCCGCGGUAAUACGUAGGUCCCGAGCGUUGUCCGGAUUUAUUGGGCGUAAAGCGAGCGCAGGCGGUUAGAAAAGUCUGAAGUGAAAGGCAGUGGCUCAACCAUUGUAGGCUUUGGAAACUGUUUAACUUGAGUGCAGAAGGGGAGAGUGGAAUUCCAUGUGUAGCGGUGAAAUGCGUAGAUAUAUGGAGGAACACCGGUGGCGAAAGCGGCUCUCUGGUCUGUAACUGACGCUGAGGCUCGAAAGCGUGGGGAGCAAACAGGAUUAGAUACCCUGGUAGUCCACGCCGUAAACGAUGAGUGCUAGGUGUUAGGUCCUUUCCGGGACUUAGUGCCGCAGCUAACGCAUUAAGCACUCCGCCUGGGGAGUACGACCGCAAGUUG